Molecule: ribosomal RNA, 428 nt
Filed under: uncultured bacterium
Lineage: Bacteria
Description: partial 16S ribosomal RNA
Rfam family: Bacterial small subunit ribosomal RNA
Source: RNAcentral
GUAGGGAAUAUUGCGCAAUGGACGAAAGUCUGACGCAGCGACGCCGCGUGAGUGAUGAAGGCCUUAGGGUCGUAAAGCUCUGUUGAAUGGGAAGAAAAAAAUGAUGGUACCAUUCGAGGAAGGACCGGCUAACUUCGUGCCAGCAGCCGCGGUAAUACGAGGGGUCCUAGCGUUGUUCGGAAUCAUUGGGCGUAAAGGGUGUGUAGGUGGCCAUGUAAGUCAGGUGUGAAAGCCCCGGGCUCAACCCGGGAAGUGCACUUGAUACUGCGUGGCUUGAGUACCGAAGAGGGUAGUGGAAUUCCAGGUGUAGUGGUGAAAUACGUAGAUAUCUGGAGGAACACCGGUGGCGAAGGCGGCUACCUGGUCGAGUACUGACACUGAGACACGAAAGCAUGGGGAUCAAACAGGAUUAGAUACCCCUGUAGUCC